Molecule: ribosomal RNA, 426 nt
Filed under: Triticum aestivum (bread wheat)
Lineage: Eukaryota; Viridiplantae; Streptophyta; Magnoliopsida; Poales; Poaceae
Description: partial small subunit ribosomal RNA
Source: RNAcentral
AGAUGGAUACAGCCUUCACCAGGAGAGACCAAACUGAAUGCUGACGGGGCUGUGGCCAAGUCAUCAAAUAUUGGUGCCGUGGGUGUGAUCUGUCGCAACGCAGAGGGACAGUUUCUUGGCGCUUCUGCACUGGUCUUCAAGGGAGUAACCGAGCCUGCAACGCUUGAGGCUUAUGCAUGUAGAAAUGCUCUAGCUUUGGCAGAAGAUAUGGUCGUCACCAAAGUGCGUAUAGCAUCCGACUGUCUGAGAGAUAUACAUGAGACGAAGUCGAGUUUCCUUAGUUGUGAGUUCGUUCACGAGCAACGCGCUAGUAAUAGCGAGGCACAUAAUUUAGCGAGGAUGGCCACUACCUUAGAUAUCGGCCGUCAUGUGUGGCUCAACGGUCCUCUGGACCACCUUUGUAUUCCCCAAAACAUUAUGAUAUGA